GACGAACGCUGGCGGCGUGCUUAACACAUGCAAGUCGAACGGAAAGGCCUCUUUCGGGGGGUACUCGAGUGGCGAACGGGUGAGUAACACACGAGUAGCCUGCCCUUGACUUUGGGAUAACUUCCGUCAACUGGGGCUAAUACCGGCUAGGAGCUCCUGCUGCAUGGAGGGGGUUGGAGAGUUUCGGGGUCUGGGGGUGGCCUCGCGGGGUAUCCGCUUGUUAGUGGGGUGGUGGCUUACCAAGGCCUUGCCGGGUAGCCGGCCAGAGGGGGUGAGCGGCCGCAUUGGGUCUGAGGGGCGGCCCAGGCUCCGAAGGGAGGCAGCAGGGGGGAAUAUUGAAGAAGGGGUGGAGGCCGGGUGCAGCAGCGCCUCGGGCGGGAUGACGGUCUUAGGGUUGUAGACCGCUUUCGCUCGUGACGAAGCUUUGUGUGACGGUAGUGGGUAAGGAAGCACCGGCUAACUACGUG
RNAcentral lists this ribosomal RNA (467 nucleotides) under uncultured bacterium. Its description in RNAcentral is "partial 16S ribosomal RNA". It matches the Rfam family "Bacterial small subunit ribosomal RNA", at positions 28 to 507 of the family's 1533-position model. The record is from RNAcentral.